This 554-nucleotide ribosomal RNA is filed under the name uncultured bacterium. RNAcentral describes it as "partial 16S ribosomal RNA". It matches the Rfam family "Bacterial small subunit ribosomal RNA", at positions 355 to 900 of the family's 1533-position model. The record is from RNAcentral.
CAGGGAAUCUUCCACAAUGGACGCAAGUCUGAUGGAGCAACGCCGCGUGAGUGAAGAAGGUUUUCGGACCGUAAAGCUCUGUUGUUGGUGAAGAAGGAUAGAGGUAGUAACUGGCCUUUAUUUGACGGUAAUCAACCAGAAAGUCACGGCUAACUACGUGCCAGCAGCCGCGGUAAUACGUAGGUGGCAAGCGUUGUCCGGAUUUAUUGGGCGUAAAGCGAGCGCAGGCGGAAGAAUAAGUCUGAUGUGAAAGCCCUCGGCUUAACCGAGGAAUUGCAUCGGAAACUGUUUUCUUGAGUGCAGAAGAGGAGAGUAGAACUCCAUGUGUAGCGGUGGAAUGCGUAGAUAUAUGGAAGAAUACCAGUGGCGAAGGCGGCUCUCUGGUCUGCAACUGACGCUGAGGCUCGAAAGCAUGGGUAGCGAACAGGAUUAGAUACCCUGGUAGUCCAUGCCGUAAACGAUGAGUGCUAAGUGUUGGGAGGCUUCCGCCUCUCAGUGCUGCAGCUAACGCAUUAAGCACUCCGCCUGGGGGAGUACGACCGCAAGGUUGAAAC